GACGAACGCUGGCGGCGUGCUUAACACAUGCAAGUCGAACGGAAAGGCCCUGCUUUUGUGGGGUGCUCGAGUGGCGAACGGGUGAGUAACACGUGAGUAACCUGCCCUUGACUUUGGGAUAACUCCAGGAAACUGGGGCUAAUACCGGAUAGGAGCUCCUGCUGCAUGGUGGGGGUUGGAAAGUUUCGGCGGUGGGGGAUGGACUCGCGGCCUAUCAGCUUGUUGGUGGGGUAGUGGCUUACCAAGGCUUUGACGGGUAGCCGGCCUGAGAGGGUGACCGGCCACAUUGGGACUGAGAUACGGCCCAGACUCCUACGGGAGGCAGCAGUGGGGAAUAUUGCACAAUGGGCGGAAGCCUGAUGCAGCAACGCCGCGUGCGGGAUGACGGCCUUCGGGUUGUAAACCGCUUUCGCCUGUGACGAAGGGUGAGUGACGGUAGUGGGUAAAGAAGCACCGGCUAACUACGUG
RNAcentral lists this ribosomal RNA (468 nucleotides) under uncultured bacterium. RNAcentral's name for it is "partial 16S ribosomal RNA". It matches the Rfam family "Bacterial small subunit ribosomal RNA", at positions 28 to 507 of the family's 1533-position model. The record is from RNAcentral.